AGCUCCGGUGGCCUAGUGGUUAGAGCGUCUGCCUCAGAUGCGGGUGGUCGUGGGUUCGAUCCCUGGUCGAGUCA
This is a non-coding RNA of Potamilus streckersoni, 74 nucleotides long. The record is from the annotation of a GenBank genome assembly. NCBI's taxonomy places the organism in Eukaryota, Metazoa, Mollusca, Bivalvia, Unionida, Unionidae.